Molecule: ribosomal RNA, 408 nt
Filed under: uncultured bacterium
Lineage: Bacteria
Description: bacterial SSU rRNA
Rfam family: Bacterial small subunit ribosomal RNA
Source: RNAcentral
AGAGUUUGAUCCUGGCUCAGAAUCAACGCUGGCGGCGUGCCUAACACAUGCAAGUCGAACGAGAAAGUGGAGCAAUCCAUGAGUAAAGUGGCGACCGGGUGAGUAACACGUGACUAACCUACCUUCGAGUGGGGGAUAACAUCGGGAAACCGAUGCUAAUACCGCAUAACAUCGCAAGAUCAAAGCAGCAAUGCGCUUGAAGAGGGGGUCGCGGCUGAUUAGCUAGUUGGCGGGGUAACGGCCCCACCAAGGCGAAGAUCGGUAGCCGGCCUGAGAGGGCGCACGGCCACACUGGAACUGAAACACGGUCCAGACUCCUACGGGAGGCAGCAGUGGGGAAUUUUGCGCAAUGGGGGAAACCCUGACGCAGCAACGCCGCGUGGAGGAUGAAGCCCCUUGGGGUGUAAA